This 1425-nucleotide ribosomal RNA is filed under the name Streptomyces pratensis. RNAcentral's name for it is "bacterial SSU rRNA". It matches the Rfam family "Bacterial small subunit ribosomal RNA". Lineage: Bacteria; Bacillati; Actinomycetota; Actinomycetes; Kitasatosporales; Streptomycetaceae. The record is from RNAcentral.
GGGGCGGGUGCUUACACAUGCAAGUCGAACGAUGAAGCCUUUCGGGGUGGAUUAGUGGCGAACGGGUGAGUAACACGUGGGCAAUCUGCCCUUCACUCUGGGACAAGCCCUGGAAACGGGGUCUAAUACCGGAUAACACUCUGUCCCGCAUGGGACGGGGUUAAAAGCUCCGGCGGUGAAGGAUGAGCCCGCGGCCUAUCAGCUUGUUGGUGGGGUAAUGGCCUACCAAGGCGACGACGGGUAGCCGGCCUGAGAGGGCGACCGGCCACACUGGGACUGAGACACGGCCCAGACUCCUACGGGAGGCAGCAGUGGGGAAUAUUGCACAAUGGGCGAAAGCCUGAUGCAGCGACGCCGCGUGAGGGAUGACGGCCUUCGGGUUGUAAACCUCUUUCAGCAGGGAAGAAGCGAAAGUGACGGUACCUGCAGAAGAAGCGCCGGCUAACUACGUGCCAGCAGCCGCGGUAAUACGUAGGGCGCAAGCGUUGUCCGGAAUUAUUGGGCGUAAAGAGCUCGUAGGCGGCUUGUCACGUCGGAUGUGAAAGCCCGGGGCUUAACCCCGGGUCUGCAUUCGAUACGGGCUAGCUAGAGUGUGGUAGGGGAGAUCGGAAUUCCUGGUGUAGCGGUGAAAUGCGCAGAUAUCAGGAGGAACACCGGUGGCGAAGGCGGAUCUCUGGGCCAUUACUGACGCUGAGGAGCGAAAGCGUGGGGAGCGAACAGGAUUAGAUACCCUGGUAGUCCACGCCGUAAACGUUGGGAACUAGGUGUUGGCGACAUUCCACGUCGUCGGUGCCGCAGCUAACGCAUUAAGUUCCCCGCCUGGGGAGUACGGCCGCAAGGCUAAAACUCAAAGGAAUUGACGGGGGCCCGCACAAGCAGCGGAGCAUGUGGCUUAAUUCGACGCAACGCGAAGAACCUUACCAAGGCUUGACAUAUACCGGAAAGCAUCAGAGAUGGUGCCCCCCUUGUGGUCGGUAUACAGGUGGUGCAUGGCCUGUCGUCAGCUCGUGUCGUGAGAAUGUKGGGUUAAGUCCCGCAACGAGCGCAACCCUUGUUCUGUGUUGCCAGCAUGCCCUUCGGGGUGAUGGGGACUCACAGGAGACUGCCGGGGUCAACUCGGAGGAAGGUGGGGACGACGUCAAGUCAUCAUGCCCCUUAUGUCUUGGGCUGCACACGUGCUACAAUGGCCGGUACAAUGAGCUGCGAUGCCGCGAGGCGGAGCGAAUCUCAAAAAGCCGGUCUCAGUUCGGAUUGGGGUCUGCAACUCGACCCCAUGAAGUCGGAGUUGCUAGUAAUCGCAGAUCAGCAUUGCUGCGGUGAAUACGUUCCCGGGCCUUGUACACACCGCCCGUCACGUCACGAAAGUCGGUAACACCCGAAGCCGGUGGCCCAACCCCUUGUGGGAGGGGAGCCUGUCGAAAGGGG